UUUUAUCCUCUUUUUCUCUUCUGCUCUUUCUCUUCUCCUUAUCCUUUCCCCUCCUUCCCUGAAGCCUGAUUAAAGGAGAUGGAGGAGUGAAGGACCACAGCAAACAGCAAGCAACGGUUGACGACUAGCAGCGAGCAUUGGUCGAUGACUAACAGCAUGAUAUGGUGAACAAUAGUGCAAUGGCGUUCGACCAAGCCACAUGAGAUGGCGACUAACCAAGCCGUGCGAAAUGAGGAUUGACGUGAGCAAUGAGAGAUGCGAGCGACAAGUAAAGCCGCUCGGCAGGAGAUGCAAGCGACGGGCAACAACGAUCAGUAGCAAGCGACGAUCAACAGUGAGUAGUGACAAGUGAAAAAUAACGCGAACGACAGGCGAUGGGUCGACAGGCAAUACGAGCGAUAGGCAGGAGUGAUGCGAGCGGUAAAGCGACACGAGGAGCAGGCGAUGGAUCGACCAACAAAGACAGCAGCGAGCGACGAUGAAAUGCAGGCAAUGGAUCAACCAACAAUGGAAACAUCGUCCGACGUAAAUAGUGGUCCACAGUGAGUGAUCAGUGAGAGACAAGAUGGAUAGGCAACAAAAGCAACGAUUCUGUUAGAUUUUGAUUUUUUUUUUAAUAAUUUAAAUUUUAUCUAUUUUAAA
Molecule: long non-coding RNA, 642 nt
Filed under: Manihot esculenta (cassava)
Lineage: Eukaryota; Viridiplantae; Streptophyta; Magnoliopsida; Malpighiales; Euphorbiaceae
Description: long non-coding RNA (MESC_LNC002772)
Source: RNAcentral